This 709-nucleotide ribosomal RNA is filed under the name uncultured Bacillus sp. RNAcentral's name for it is "bacterial SSU rRNA". It matches the Rfam family "Bacterial small subunit ribosomal RNA", at positions 80 to 774 of the family's 1533-position model. The record is from RNAcentral. Lineage: Bacteria; Bacillati; Bacillota; Bacilli; Caryophanales; Bacillaceae.
GCUUCUUCUGAUUUAGCGGCGGACGGGUGAGUAACACGUGGGCAACCUGCCCUGUAGAUUGGGAUAACUCCGGGAAACCGGGGCUAAUACCGAAUAAUCCAUUUCCUCACAUGGGGAGAUGUUAAAAGACGGCAUCUCGCUGUCACUACAGGAUGGGCCCGCGGCGCAUUAGCUAGUUGGUGAGGUAACGGCUCACCAAGGCGACAAUGCGUAGCCGACCUGAGAGGGUGAUCGGCCACACUGGGACUGAGACACGGCCCAGACUCCUACGGGAGGCAGCAGUAGGGAAUCUUCCACAAUGGACGAAAGUCUGAUGGAGCAAUGCCGCGUGAGUGAAGAAGGUUUUCGGAUCGUAAAACUCUGUUGUGAGGGAAGAACAAGUAUGAGAGUAACUGCUCGUACCUUGACGGUACCUCAUUAGAAAGCCACGGCUAACUACGUGCCAGCAGCCGCGGUAAUACGUAGGUGGCAAGCGUUGUCCGGAAUUAUUGGGCGUAAAGCGCGCGCAGGCGGUCCUUUAAGUCUGAUGUGAAAUCCCACGGCUCAACCGUGGAAGGUCAUUGGAAACUGGGGGACUUGAGUACAGAAGAGGAAAGCGGAAUUCCAAGUGUAGCGGUGAAAUGCGUAGAGAUUUGGAGGAACACCAGUGGCGAAGGCGGCUUUCUGGUCUGUAACUGACGCUGAGGCGCGAAAGCGUGGGGAGCAAACA